AGCGCUGUGGCUCAAUGGUAGAGCGCAUGCUAGCUCUCUAUGGGCUCUAAGAGCAUGAGAAGUUGGUUCAAAUCCAACCGAUGCUU
Non-coding RNA from Arthrobotrys musiformis, 86 nucleotides. Lineage: Eukaryota; Fungi; Ascomycota; Orbiliomycetes; Orbiliales; Orbiliaceae. The record is from the annotation of a GenBank genome assembly.